RNAcentral lists this ribosomal RNA (188 nucleotides) under uncultured bacterium. Its description in RNAcentral is "partial small subunit ribosomal RNA". It matches the Rfam family "Bacterial small subunit ribosomal RNA", at positions 26 to 215 of the family's 1533-position model. The record is from RNAcentral.
AGAUUGAACGCUGGCGGCAUGCCUUACACAUGCAAGUCGAACGGCAGCACGGGAGCAAUCCUGGUGGCGAGUGGCGAACGGGUGAGUAAUAUAUCGGAACGUGCCCAACAGUGGGGGAUAGCCCGGCGAAAGCCGGAUUAAUACCGCAUGUGACCUGAGGGUGAAAGCGGGGACCUGCAAGGGCCUCG